UGGGGAAUUUUGGACAAUGGGCGAAAGCCUGAUCCAGCAAUGCCGCGUGUGUGAAGAAGGCCUUCGGGUUGUAAAGCACUUUUGUCCGGAAAGAAAUCCUUGGCUCUAAUACAGUCGGGGGAUGACGGUACCGGAAGAAUAAGCACCGGCUAACUACGUGCCAGCAGCCGCGGUAAUACGUAGGGUGCAAGCGUUAAUCGGAAUUACUGGGCGUAAAGCGUGCGCAGGCGGUUUGCUAAGACCGAUGUGAAAUCCCCGGGCUCAACCUGGGAACUGCAUUGGUGACUGGCAGGCUAGAGUAUGGCAGAGGGGGGUAGAAUUCCACGUGUAGCAGUGAAAUGCGUAGAGAUGUGGAGGAAUACCGAUGGCGAAGGCAGCCCCCUGGGCCAAUACUGACGCUCAUGCACGAAAGCGUGGGGAGCAAACAGGAUUAGAUACCCUGGUAGUCCACGCCCUAAACGAUGUCAACUAGUUGUUGGGGAUUCAUUUCCUUAGUAACGUAGCUAACGCGUGAAGUUGACCGCCUGGGGAGUACGGUCGCAAGAUUAAAACUCAAUGAAUUGACGGGGUCAUA
Molecule: ribosomal RNA, 574 nt
Filed under: uncultured bacterium
Lineage: Bacteria
Description: partial 16S ribosomal RNA
Rfam family: Bacterial small subunit ribosomal RNA
Source: RNAcentral